GAUCAUGGCUCAGAUUGAACGCUGGCGGCAUGCGUAACACAUGCAAGUCGAACGGUGUUUGGUGCUUGCACCAGACAUAGGUGGCGGACGGGUGAGUAAUGCGUAGGAAUCUGUCUUAGAGAGGGGGACAACCCGAGGAAACUUGGGCUAAAACCGCAUAUUCUCGAGAGAGGAAAGCAGGGGACCGGAAACGGCCUUGUGCUCUAAGGUGAGCCUACGUCGGAUUAGCUAGUUGGUAGGGUAAAAGCCUACCAAGGCGAUGAUCUGUAGCUGGUCUGAGAGGACGGACAGCCACACUGGGACUGAGACACGGUCCAGACUCCUACGGGAGGCAGCAGUGGGGAAUAUUGGACAAUGGGGGGAACCCUGAUCCAGCGAUGCCGCGUGUGUGAAGAAGGCCUGCGGGUUGUAAAGCACUUUCAGUGGGAAAGAGAAGCGUCUUGUGAAUAAUGGGACGUGGAGACGUUACUCACAGAAGAAGCACCGGCUAACUCUGUG
Molecule: ribosomal RNA, 498 nt
Filed under: uncultured bacterium
Lineage: Bacteria
Description: bacterial SSU rRNA
Rfam family: Bacterial small subunit ribosomal RNA
Source: RNAcentral